Molecule: RNA transcript, 1487 nt
Organism: Momordica charantia (bitter melon)
Lineage: Eukaryota; Viridiplantae; Streptophyta; Magnoliopsida; Cucurbitales; Cucurbitaceae
Gene name: mitotic checkpoint protein BUB3.3
Source: RefSeq, a predicted model, not a curated record
ACGGCUCGGAUUAUUCUCGGUGUUCUUCACUCUGCUCGUCUUUAUCCAAAUUCAACUCAAAUUUCGUUCAAUUCCUUCAUUUCCCGCCUCUUUUGAUGGACUAAGCUCGGUCCUCGGGUAUGGAAAUGAACAGGGUUUUACUGGAUUUUCAAGAUGCCAUUUCCACAAUUCAAUUCGCUCCCCAUUCAAAUAAUCUCAUUGUUUCCUCCUGGGACUCUAGUCUUCGCUUGUACGAUGUGGAUAGUUCUGCGCUCAGACUUGAAGCUCCCUCCGAAGCUGCGCUUCUGGAUUGUUGCUUCCAGGACGAGUCGGUGGCAUUCAGCGCUGGUUCUGAUGGCUUCAUAAGGAGGUAUGACUUGCAAUCAGGAAUUUUGGAUACCAUUGGGAAGCAUGAUGAUAUUGCAACCCAUAUUGGAUAUUCUGGUCGAACAUGCCAAAUAGUAUCAGCUGGUUUGGAUGGAAAGAUACUGUUGUGGGACACACGUACAGUAAAAGCUCUGUCAAUUGUAAGAAAUAUGGGUUCAGAUGUGGUGUCCAUGUCUCUCUCUGGAUUUAAUUUGAUUGUGGCUACUGGAGUGUGUGUAUAUUCAUUCGACUUACGUAGCCUAGAGAAACCAAUUCAACUGAAAGAUUCUUGUAUGAAAGUUCCAGUUGCUUGUGUUAGCUCAGUUCCUUAUUGCGAAGGACAUGCAGUUGGAUCAGUGGAUGGACGUGUAGCUUUAGAGAUUUCUUGUCUGGACCGAGCAGAUGACAUUAGAUAUAUUUUCUGGUGUCACCCAAAGUCAAAGGCUAGAAGAAACCAUUUGGAGUCUGUGAAUGCUAUUGCGUUUAAUCCAAUACACCACGGUGCUUUUGCUACGGGUGAUAAUGAAGGCUUUGUCAGUAUGUGGGAUUUCCACAGCAAGAGAAGACUACUUGAGUUGCCUAGAUUUCCAAAUAGUGUGGCUUCCUUAUCUUACAACUGCGGAGGCGAACUUUUGGCUGUUGCUUCAAGUUGUACGUUUCAAGAAGCAAAAGAAAGCUACAUAUGUAGAUUAUGGCGGGUAUUGAGGCUGAUGUUGGCAUGUUUUGCAUGUCUGCCGACCACUCAAUACCUACUACAAGUACAACUACAACUAGUCAACCAUCUAUUAAAUAAUCGAUCGUCAUAAGAAGAGUAUACCUUUCUGCCGAAUUAUUAUAGAAGAUCCUCCUCAAGUUUUCUUACACGUAAUGGAGCACAACAAUAUCGCCUCCCAGUAAAGAAGGCGUUGUAUUACUAUUUUCCAAUACCAUAUGGGCCUCAAAAGUUGGUGCAUUAAUACUUAGAAAGUCGAGGAAAGAGCUCCACAAGCCAAGUGUUGUAUUGUAUCAAUUUGAUGUUAGUGUAUUAUUUUCUAUUUUUAAUUUUUUUUUUCCCUUUUCUACUACAUACAUUCCUUCUCUCCACAGCCAAUUUAUAGUGUGAUAAUUUUCAUAUUAGGCGUUAAUUUAGUUAAUUUGUAGUG